AUUGAACGCUGGCGGCAGGCCUAACACAUGCAAGUCGAGCGGAUGAAGGGAGCUUGCUCCUGGAUUCAGCGGCGGACGGGUGAGUAAUGCCUAUGAAUCUGCCUGGUAGUGGGGGAUAACGUCCGGAAACGGGCGCUAAUACCGCAUACGUCCUGAGGGAGAAAGUGGGGGAUCUUCGGACCUCACGCUAUCAGAUGAGCCUAGGUCGGAUUAGCUAGUUGGUGGGGUAAAGGCCUACCCAGGCGACGAUCCGUAACUGGUAUUAGAGGAUGAUCAGUCACACUGGAACUGAGACACGGUACAGACUCCUACGGGAGGCAGCAGUGGGGAAUAUUGGACAAUGGGCGAAAGCCUGAUCCAGCCAUGCCGCGUGUGUGAAGAAGGUCUUCGGAUUGUAAAGCACUUUAAGUUGGGAGGAAGGGCAGUAAGUUAAUACCUUGCUGUUUUGACGUUACCAACAGAAUAAGCACCGGCUAACUUCGUG
Molecule: ribosomal RNA, 484 nt
Filed under: uncultured bacterium
Lineage: Bacteria
Description: partial 16S ribosomal RNA
Rfam family: Bacterial small subunit ribosomal RNA
Source: RNAcentral